Acanthochromis polyacanthus (spiny chromis) is the source of this 285-nucleotide long non-coding RNA. RefSeq lists it as uncharacterized. The transcript is spliced from 2 exons. The record is from RefSeq and is a predicted model, not a curated record. Lineage: Eukaryota; Metazoa; Chordata; Actinopteri; Pomacentridae.
ACUAAUCCUGUUUAACUGAUCUUGUUUCUCCUAUCAAGGGGCAAGAUCGGUUGUAUGACAUCAUUAAGAACAUGACAGGGGUGAAGGCCAACCCAUUUUUCAAAAUCUGCUGGCUCUACCUCACACCGUUGGUCUCACUGGGCUCUUUCAUAUAUUCUUUAGUUGAGUACCAGCCUCUGACCUUUAAUCGCUGGUACGUGUACCCAGACUGGGCGCAUGUGUUGGGUUGGCUACUGGCCCUCUCCUCAAUCCUGCUUGUGCCUGGAUGUGCACUGUAUAAGUUGA